UACGUAGGGUGCAAGCGUUUAAUCGGAAUUACUGGGCGUAAAGCGUGCGCAGGCGGUUUUGUAAGUCUGUCGUGAAAGCCCCGGGCUCAACCUGGGAAUUGCGAUGGAGACUGCAAGGCUUGAAUCUGGCAGAGGGGGGUAGAAUUCCACGUGUAGCAGUGAAAUGCGUAGAGAUGUGGAGGAACACCGAUGGCGAAGGCAGCCCCCUGGGUCAAGAUUGACGCUCAUGCACGAAAGCGUGGGGAGCAAACAGG
This 254-nucleotide ribosomal RNA is filed under the name uncultured bacterium. RNAcentral describes it as "partial 16S ribosomal RNA". It matches the Rfam family "Bacterial small subunit ribosomal RNA", at positions 524 to 776 of the family's 1533-position model. The record is from RNAcentral.